RNAcentral lists this small RNA (30 nucleotides) under Bombyx mori (domestic silkworm). RNAcentral describes it as "ovarian small RNA-3158". Lineage: Eukaryota; Metazoa; Arthropoda; Insecta; Lepidoptera; Bombycidae. The record is from RNAcentral.
UAUGUGUAGCCCCAGCUCAUUGAGAGCACC